RNAcentral lists this small nuclear RNA (297 nucleotides) under Oryctolagus cuniculus (rabbit). Its description in RNAcentral is "7SK RNA". It matches the Rfam family "7SK RNA". Rfam says of the family: 7SK was discovered as an abundant small nuclear RNA in the mid-70s but a possible function has only recently been suggested. Two independent studies have found that 7SK RNA binds the CDK9/cyclin T complex (known as elongation factor P-TEFb). Lineage: Eukaryota; Metazoa; Chordata; Mammalia; Lagomorpha; Leporidae. The record is from Rfam by way of RNAcentral.
GGAUGUGAGGGCGAUCUGGCUGCGACAUCUGUCACCCCAUUGAUCGCCAGGGUUGAUUCGGCUGACCUGGCUGGCUAGGCGGGUGUCCCCUUCCUCCCUCACCGCUCCAUGUGCGUCCCUCCCGAAGCUGCGCGCUCGGUCGAAGAGGACGACCAUCCCCGCUAGAGGAGGACCGGUCUUCGGUCAAGGGUAUAGGAGUAGCUGCGCUCCCCUGCUAGAACCUCCAAACAAGCUCUCAAUGGGGGUUCUUAGCAUACACAUGCAAAACAGUGUAGCACAGGGAGAUGUUCCUUCUGC